This 1423-nucleotide ribosomal RNA is filed under the name bacterium NLAE-zl-C432. RNAcentral's name for it is "bacterial SSU rRNA". It matches the Rfam family "Bacterial small subunit ribosomal RNA". The record is from RNAcentral.
AGGAGCUACCAUGCAGUCGAGGGGCAUCAGGGAUGUAGCAAUACAUUUGCUGGCGACCGGCGCCCCCUUANANAGNGCGUAUGCAACCUGCCUAUCAGAGGAGGAUAACCCNUUANAAAGUCGGACUAAUACUCCAUAAAACAGGGGUUCCGCAUGGGNCUAUUUGUUAAAGAUUAAUCGCUGAUAGAUGGGCAUGCGUUCCAUUAGCUGGUUGGUGAGGUAACGGCUCACCAAGGCAACGAUGGAUAGGGGUUCUGAGAGGAAGGUCCCCCACACUGGUACUGAGACACGGACCAGACUCCUACGGGAGGCAGCAGUGAGGAAUAUUGGUCAAUGGGCGAGAGCCUGAACCAGCCAAGUCGCGUGAAGGAUGAAGGAUCUAUGGUUUGUAAACUUCUUUUAUACGGGAAUAAAGUUCAGGACGUGUCCUGUUUUUGUAUGUACCGUUAUGAAUAAGCAUCGGCUAACUCCGUGCCAGCAGCCGCGGUAAUACGGAGGAUGCGAGCGUUAUCCGGAUUUAUUGGGUUUNAAAGGGUGCGUAGGUGGUAGAUUAAGUCAGCGGUGAAAGUUUGUCGCUCAACGAUAAAAUUGCCGUUGAUACUGGUUUACUUGAGUAUAGUUGAAGUAGGCGGAAUGCGUGGUGUAGCGGUGAAAUGCAUAGAUAUCACGCAGAACUCCGAUUGCGAAGGCAGCUUACUAAGUUAUAACUGACACUGAAGCACGAAAGCGUGGGUAUCAAACAGGAUUAGAUACCCUGGUAGUCCACGCAGUAAACGAUGAUUACUAGCUGUUUGCGAUAUACAGUAAGUGGCACAGCGAAAGCGUUAAGUAAUCCACCUGGGGAGUACGCCGGCAACGGUGAAACUCAAAGGAAAUUGACGGGGGCCCGCACAAGCGGAGGAACAUGUGGUUUAAUUCGAGGAUACGCGAGGAACCNUUACCCGGGAUUGAAAUGUACCUGACAGGCUUGGAAACAGGUCCUCUAGCAAUAGCAGGUAUGUAGGGGCUGCAUGGUUGUCGUCAGCUCGUGCCGUGAGGUGUCGGCUUAAGUGCCAUAACGAGCGCAACCCUCAUUGAUAGUUACUAACAGGUAAAGCUGAGGACUCUAUUAAGACUGCCGGCGUAAGCUGUGAGGAAGGUGGGGAUGACGUCAAAUCAGCACGGCCCUUACAUCCGGGGCGACACACGUGUUACAAUGGUGGGGACAAAGGGCAGCUACCUGGCGACAGGAUGCGAAUCUCCAAACCCCAUCUCAGUUCGGAUCGGAGUCUGCAACUCGACUCCGUGAAGCUGGAUUCGCUAUGUUAUAAGGGCAUCAGCCAUGGCGCGGUGAAUACGUUCCCGGGCCUUNNAAGGGCCGCCCGUCAAGCCAUGGGAGUUGGGGGUACCUGAAGUCCGUACCGCAAGAUCGGCCUAGNAANCG